CUGAGUUUUCGAACUCCCAAACCUUUGUGAACAUACCUACGUUGCUUCGGCGGGAUCGUCCCGGGCGCGCCCCUCGCGGGCGUGUUCCGGAUCCAGGCGCCCGCCGAGGACCUCAAACUCUUGUUUUUAUAGUGGACUUCUGAGUAACAUGAUAAAAUAAAUCA
RNAcentral lists this unclassified non-coding RNA (164 nucleotides) under uncultured Beauveria. Its description in RNAcentral is "sequence contains ITS1". Lineage: Eukaryota; Fungi; Ascomycota; Sordariomycetes; Hypocreales; Cordycipitaceae. The record is from RNAcentral.